RNAcentral lists this ribosomal RNA (253 nucleotides) under uncultured bacterium. RNAcentral describes it as "partial 16S ribosomal RNA". It matches the Rfam family "Bacterial small subunit ribosomal RNA", at positions 524 to 776 of the family's 1533-position model. The record is from RNAcentral.
UACGUAGGGGGCUAGCGUUGUCCGGAUUUAUUGGGCGUAAAGAGCGUGUAGGCGGCCAUGUAGGUCCGGUGUGAAAACUCGAGGCUUAACCUCGAGAUGUCAUCGGAAACCAUUUGGCUAGAGUCCGGAAGAGGAGAGUGGAAUUCCUGGUGUAGCGGUGAAAUGCGCAGAUAUCAGGAAGAACACCAAUGGCGAAGGCGGCUCUCUGGGACGGUACUGACGCUGAGACGCGAAAGCGUGGGGAGCGAACAGG